AAUAGCGAAAUAAAGCAGCGGCACUAUAAGAAUUAUUCUCGUAUUUAUUUAAAUGUUUGGAUAGGGGAACCCAACAUCCGACUGAGCCACAGCCCAGCUAUUGACCGGAUAAACCGGGUUCGUUACAAAUUCCAUAGUUGCCAAAUAUAUCCUAUUUUCUCAUUCACAGACAAGACGCACUCCUUCGAAAUCUCUCGCUGCUGCUGCAGCAAUAAGUGUGGCUGCAAUAUAUUUGCCAUUAGCUCCAGCUACAUGUAGAGCAUGUUAAACAUUUUUAAUUGUAUUUGUAGGAGCAUCUGACAGUCCACUUGCGUACAUAAAUAGAAAAUACACAACAUGACGAGGGACUUGAAAUUGAAGAUGAUCAAGAGUACACAACGCUGGAAACUGAGAACAUGAAGCUAAAGCAUCGAUUAGCAAUUCUGAAGAUGGCUAUUGCUGCAGAACAAAACGCCGCAACCACUGCUGUUUUUGGUAAAUAUGUACCAGCGGUACUGCCCACCGCCGCCGGUGCAAUGAUUUCGAUAGCAUAACAAACGCCAUCUCCUGGGCAUUCCCAAAGCUUGCUGACACCAGUUAUUAUAUCACGUAUGAAUGCGGCUCAAUUUGGUUAUUAUCAAUGCAAUUGUGCCAUGUCAUUGGCAUAAACACUAAAGGUUGCUGGCACAAAUAAAUCGCCUAGAGAUAUAGCCAACGAAAUAAAUAAACAUGGUGUUCAAUCGCUUCUUGUGGCUUAAACUGAGGUUGCAAGUGCUCGAUUCAUUAAUAUGUUUCUCAAAAGGGAUUAUGCUGUUCGUGUGAUUUCCAACCUCUUACGGUCUGGCGUUAACAUGCCAACUUGCCGCAAGCAACAUAUCUCAUAUAGAUGCACGUUGGUCAUUUACGUUCGACUAUUAUUGGAGAGUCCAUUUGGCGUUUGUUGGAGUUUCUGGGGCACGAUAAUCGCACGAGCUAAUCAAGGCUGUCAUAGAAUCCAUCUUAGUCCGAAUUUUUGAGAAAUCUACGAAAAUGCUAUUGAAUUUAAAUAACUGCGAGCGCAGCGUAUGCUUUGAAUACACGCAUUCGUAGUAGUUCAGAUUCAGUGUUCGCUUUUUCGUAGAUUUUAUGAAAAAUCAGACUAAGAUGGAUUCCGUGAUAGCCACCAAUAUGUAUUCUACUUUGACAAGAUGUUGCCGAAUCGCGGCGACACAGCCGUAUACGUAUUCUAUGAUUUUACGCGCAUAGGCUAAAUAUCUCGCACCUAGCUAAAGUGCUUGGUAAAUGCAUAUCUUCACCAUUAUAAUUUAAAGUAAAAAAGUUUAAGGCAUGUUAUAAAAGAAUACAACAAAACCAAAAAGUGUUCUC
This is a long non-coding RNA of Rhagoletis pomonella (apple maggot), 1344 nucleotides long. RefSeq lists it as uncharacterized. The record is from RefSeq and is a predicted model, not a curated record. NCBI's taxonomy places the organism in Eukaryota, Metazoa, Arthropoda, Insecta, Diptera, Tephritidae. The transcript is spliced from 3 exons.